Molecule: long non-coding RNA, 885 nt
Organism: Trichomycterus rosablanca
Lineage: Eukaryota; Metazoa; Chordata; Actinopteri; Siluriformes; Trichomycteridae
Exons: 6
Source: RefSeq, a predicted model, not a curated record
CUGGUGUGUCUAUGGGUGAGCUUCUGCCUGGUGACAGCAUGGUGCGACUAGUGACAGAGCUACCGGUUUCCUCGGACUGCGCCGACGCGGGUCCGGAUCAUUCUCUUGUUUCCUAUAGGUGAGCUUCUGCCUGGUGUCAGCAUGGUGCGACUAGUGACAGAGCCACCUGUCCCCGGACAUCGCGACGGCGAGUUCGGGUUAUUCUCUAAUUUCCUCUAUGGAGAAGCUCCUGUCCUGCAAUGCCGGUCGCGACGGCCUCGCAAGCCGCGAUGGGGAUUCGCGACUCGGUUUCAUUUCCCUUUGUUAAAACGUUAUAUCCCUGAUUAUUAUUUGUUUACUUUUAUUAAUAAACUUUUCUGUUACUUAACUCUGCAUCUUGGGUCCUCCUUUUCCCCCCCCACGUAACACCAGGUCAGUUAGAACAAAUAAGGAUAGACCUAAAUGGAUAUAGCUAAGAGUCUGUGUUAGCAUAUAGGCCAGAUCACACGUUGCAAUGAAUCAUCGUUGCAUUUUGCUAAUAACAUCAAAGACACUAGGCACCUGUAUGGGUUUGUAGCAGACAGAUCAUGGCACAGGUCUGCUACAAGAACACAUCCAGAGGUUUUUAGCUGAGGUUCAGAUCACCUCCAUUCCUCAGCACCAUGUACAUACCACGCCAGGUCAGAAAGAAAGCCCCAUCAAUGAACAAGUCUAACCUACUGGAAGAAGCAACCAGAUCAGAUUUGGGCCUAAGCACCUUGAUACCUCACAGAAGAUGAAAUGACUGAGUCACCACAACAAUCUAUGAUCAACGACCACGUCUGUCAUCCUGAAAGCACUUUGACCUUCUCUGUGAUGGUGUAUGAGACAAGAGAGGAAACAAAACCAAUAAAAUAUUGAAUAAAA